RNAcentral lists this ribosomal RNA (498 nucleotides) under uncultured bacterium. Its description in RNAcentral is "partial 16S ribosomal RNA". It matches the Rfam family "Bacterial small subunit ribosomal RNA", at positions 29 to 523 of the family's 1533-position model. The record is from RNAcentral.
AUUGAACGCUGGCGGCAUGACUUACACAUGCAAGUCGAACGGUAACGCGGGGCAACCUGGCGACGAGUGGCGAACGGGUGAGUAAAGCAUCGGAACGUGCCCAGUAGUGGGGGAUAGCCCGGCGAAAGCCGGAUUAAUACCGCAUACGACCUAUGGGUGAAAGGGGGGGAUCGCAAGACCUCUCGCUAUUGGAGCGGCCGAUGUCAGAUUAGGUAGUUGGUGGGGUAAAGGCCUACCAAGCCGACGAUCUGUAGCUGGUCUGAGAGGACGACCAGCCACACUGGGACUGAGACACGGCCCAGACUCCUACUGGAGGCAGCAGUGGGGAAUUUUGGACAAUGGGCGCAAGCCUGAUCCAGCCAUGCCGCGUGCGGGAAGAAGGCCUUCGGGUUGUAAACCGCUUUUGUCAGGGAAGAAAUCCUUUGGGUUAAUACCUCGGGGGGAUGACGGUACCUGAAGAAUAAGCACCGGCUAACUACGUGCCAGCCGCCGCCGUAA